Pseudonaja textilis is the source of this 965-nucleotide non-coding RNA. Lineage: Eukaryota; Metazoa; Chordata; Lepidosauria; Squamata; Elapidae. The record is from RefSeq and is a predicted model, not a curated record.
CAUAAAUUUUAAGUAGGUGUUCAACCUUGUGGGAGGGCGUACUAUAAUGUUUUAAGCUUGUUUCGUGUAGAUGUUGUUAUGCUUUUGCAUACAGCUUUAAGUUCGUAUAUACCAGUAUCAAAAUCCAAAAAUGUCUGUCUGGAUUAGAAAUAAAUAACAUAAAAUUAUAUAUCGUAGCCAAGUUGAAAGAACAUUGGUUUUAUUCAGGCAGUGGAGAGGCUGGGGAAAAAUAUAUUAACGAUCAAUUUAUCUUAUUGGAGCGAGUAGAACUCUUACAAAUAUUUACCUUAGAAAAGGGAUAUCAUCAUAUACUGUGUGUGUGUUGUGUGUGUGUGUGUUUAGGGAUUUCUAACAGUCGCUCUUCUUCACUCAAGUUCACUCUGUGUGUGUUCUCUUCGGGACAAAUUGUGGUCCACUACACUCUUGCCUUAAAGUGCACUAAGACAAAUCCCAAACCAGCUGGCUAUGCCUCUUAAAGAGACUUAUGGCACCUUAUAUUAACUUCCCCAUCCCAAGUGCUUUUUCAGAUAGGCUGGUUCCAGUGUCCCAAACACCCAAGCUGGCAGCCCCACAUCUGGGAGAACCACUAAACUCAAAACUCUGAUAUCUUGUGGCCUUUUAGGACUAUGAAAUCUGCCUUUUAGGACUUAUGGAUUUCUGGUGGCCCAUAUUUUCAGAUCUACAAAGCUUACGCCGCCAUGAAUCAAGGCGCCUUAAGCUCCGUCUUGGUCAAGCAAGACAGGGAUGAGUUCCUUUUCUCCGUGGCUGAUUGCAAUUUGCAAUGAUGCCGUGCUCCCAGGAAUGCCAAUCCAUUUUCAUCUGGGCAUUUUCCCUUGAGGACCAGUGACAUCUGCCUUAGCUUUUCCCCCUUGUGCUUUCAGAGGCAGCUGAAGUCGUAUUCCACUCAUGUCCUUGCUGGGACGGUACUAGUGCAUGCAGGGGAACAUGGAUUCAAUUAAGCUGCA